This is a long non-coding RNA of Ictidomys tridecemlineatus (thirteen-lined ground squirrel), 454 nucleotides long. RefSeq lists it as uncharacterized. The record is from RefSeq and is a predicted model, not a curated record. Lineage: Eukaryota; Metazoa; Chordata; Mammalia; Rodentia; Sciuridae.
GUCGCUGUAAUCCCUUAGGACCCGCUCGAUAGCCCCCGCUUCGCCGGCCCGGACGAUGUAGAGGGCGCGCUCCUCAUCCAUGGCCGCAGGUGCGGGGGAGCCGCGGCCGCUCUGCGCUCCCAAGCCGCUGCCUCCAGGAUGUUGAAAGAGUUAAAAGAGAUGGCUGUCGAAGUAGCUGGCACAGGAGACCUGGCAAGGAGUGACCACUCAAGUGUUAACUGAACUGGAUUGAAAAACUGAACAUUCCUCACAAGGAAUGCUGUGAAGAUUCAGGACUCAAGGCUGUUAUUCCUAUGGGAGCCCAAAUGCAUGAAUUUUCAGUUGUUGGUGUUGUGGCUGCGGUUGUUUUUAACAACAACAACAAAAAAAAAAAAAACCAAAAAGUAAUUCCAACUGUUUUGGUAUUUAAGCCUUUGAAAUAACAUCUUUAAACUGAUAUGGUAUAAAAUUUUGA